GACGAACGCUGGCGGCGUGCUUAACACAUGCAAGUCGAACGGAAAGGCCCUGCUUUUGUGGGGUGCUCGAGUGGCGAACGGGUGAGUAACACGUGAGUAACCUGCCCUUGACUUUGGGAUAACUUCAGGAAACUGGGGCUAAUACCGGAUAGGAGCUCCUGCUGCAUGGUGGGGGUUGGAAAGUUUCGGCGGUUGGGGAUGGACUCGCGGCUUAUCAGCUUGUUGGUGGGGUAGUGGCUUACCAAGGCUUUGACGGGUAGCCGGCCUGAGAGGGUGACCGGCCACAUUGGGACUGAGAGGCGGCACAGACUCCUACGGGAGGCAGCAGUGGGGAAUAUUGCACAAUGGGCGGAAGCCUGAUGCAGCAACGCCGCGUGCGGUAUGACGGCCUUCGGGUUGUAAACCGCGUUCGCCUGUGACGAAGCGUGAGUGACGGUAAUGGGUAAAGAAGCACCGGCUAACUACGUGC
RNAcentral lists this ribosomal RNA (469 nucleotides) under uncultured bacterium. RNAcentral's name for it is "partial 16S ribosomal RNA". It matches the Rfam family "Bacterial small subunit ribosomal RNA", at positions 28 to 508 of the family's 1533-position model. The record is from RNAcentral.